RNAcentral lists this ribosomal RNA (249 nucleotides) under Candidatus Ligilactobacillus avistercoris. RNAcentral's name for it is "partial 23S ribosomal RNA". It matches the Rfam family "Bacterial large subunit ribosomal RNA", at positions 2677 to 2925 of the family's 2925-position model. Lineage: Bacteria; Bacillati; Bacillota; Bacilli; Lactobacillales; Lactobacillaceae. The record is from RNAcentral.
CUUAGUACGAGAGGACCGGGAUGAACAUACCGCUGGUGUACCAGUUGUUUCGCCAGGAGCAGCGCUGGGUAGCUAUGUAUGGAUGAGAUAAACGCUGAAAGCAUCUAAGUGCGAAACUCACCUCAAGAUCAGAUUUCCCAUUCCGUUAGGAAGUAAGACCCCUGAGAGAUGAUCAGGUAGAUAGGAUGGAAGUGGCAGUGUGGUGACACAUGAAGCGGACCAUUACUAAUCGGUCGAGGACUUAACCAA